AGCUUGCUCUCUGAUUUAGCGGCGGACGGGUGAGUAAUGCCUAGGAAUCUGCCUGGUAGUGGGGGAUAACGUUCCGAAAGGAACGCUAAUACCGCAUACGUCCUACGGGAGAAAGCAGGGGACCUUCGGGCCUUGCGCUAUCAGAUGAGCCUAGGUCGGAUUAGCUAGUUGGUGAGGUAAUGGCUCACCAAGGCGACGAUCCGUAACUGGUCUGAGAGGAUGAUCAGUCACACUGGAACUGAGACACGGUCCAGACUCCUACGGGAGGCAGCAGUGGGGAAUAUUGGACAAUGGGCGAAAGCCUGAUCCAGCCAUGCCGCGUGUGUGAAGAAGGUCUUCGGAUUGUAAAGCACUUUAAGUUGGGAGGAAGGGCAUUAACCUAAUACGUUAGUGUUUUGACGUUACCAACAGAAUAAGCACCGGCUAACUUCGUGCCAGCAGCCGCGGUAAUACGAAGGGUGCAAGCGUUAAUCGGAAUUACUGGGCGUAAAGCGCGCGUAGGUGGUUCGUUAAGUUGGAUGUGAAAGCCCCGGGCUCAACCUGGGAACUGCAUCCAAAACUGGCGAGCUAGAGUACGGUAGAGGGUAGUGGAAUUUCCUGUGUAGCGGUGAAAUGCGUAGAUAUAGGAAGGAACACCAGUGGCGAAGGCGACUACCUGGACUGAUACUGACACUGAGGUGCGAAAGCGUGGGGGAGCAAACAGGAUUAGAUACCCUGGUAGUCCACGCCGUAAACGAUGUCAACUAGCCGUUGGAAAUCCUUGAGAUUUU
This 770-nucleotide ribosomal RNA is filed under the name Ectopseudomonas oleovorans. RNAcentral describes it as "bacterial SSU rRNA". It matches the Rfam family "Bacterial small subunit ribosomal RNA", at positions 77 to 840 of the family's 1533-position model. Lineage: Bacteria; Pseudomonadati; Pseudomonadota; Gammaproteobacteria; Pseudomonadales; Pseudomonadaceae. The record is from RNAcentral.